This 550-nucleotide ribosomal RNA is filed under the name uncultured bacterium. RNAcentral's name for it is "bacterial SSU rRNA". It matches the Rfam family "Bacterial small subunit ribosomal RNA", at positions 772 to 1319 of the family's 1533-position model. The record is from RNAcentral.
ACUGAAUAGAUACCCGGGUAGUCCAUGCUGUAAACGAUGUCAACUAGCCGUUGGGGCCCUUGAGGCUUUAGUGGCGCAGCUAACGCGAUAAGUUGACCGCCUGGGGAGUACGGCCGCAAGGUUAAAACUCAAAUGAAUUGACGGGGGCCCGCACAAGCGGUGGAGUAUGUGGUUUAAAUUCGAUGCAACGCGAAGAACCUUACCUGGCCUUGACAUAUCCGGAACCCUGCAGAGAUGCGGGGGUGCCUUCGGGAAUCGGAAUACAGGUGCUGCAUGGCUGUCGUCAGCUCGUGUCGUGAGAUGUUGGGUUAAGUCCCGCAACGAGCGCAACCCUUAUCCUUAGUUGCCAGCGCGUAAAGGCGGGAACUCUAGGGAGACUGCCGGUGACAAACCGGAGGAAGGCGGGGACGACGUCAAGUCAUCAUGGCCCUUACGGCCAGGGCUACACACGUACUACAAUGGUCGGUACAAAGGGUUGCUAAGCCGCGAGGGCCACGCCAAUCUCAAAAAAGCCGAUCGUAGUCCAGAUUGGAGUCUGCAACUCGACUCC